ACGUAGGUGGCGAGCGUUAUCCGGAUUUACUGGGUGUAAAGGGCGUGUAGGCGGUUUCUCAAGUCGGAUGUGAAAUUCCCAGGCUUAACCUGGGAGCUGCAACCGAAACUGGGGAACUUGAGUACUGGAGAGGAUAGCGGAAUUCCUAGUGUAGCGGUAAAAUGCGUAGAUAUUAGGAGGAACACCGGUGGCGAAGGCGGCUAUCUGGACAGUAACUGACGCUGAGGCGCGAAAGCGUGGGGAGCAAACAG
This 251-nucleotide ribosomal RNA is filed under the name uncultured prokaryote. RNAcentral's name for it is "partial 16S rRNA". It matches the Rfam family "Bacterial small subunit ribosomal RNA", at positions 525 to 775 of the family's 1533-position model. The record is from RNAcentral.